This 497-nucleotide ribosomal RNA is filed under the name uncultured bacterium. Its description in RNAcentral is "partial 16S ribosomal RNA". It matches the Rfam family "Bacterial small subunit ribosomal RNA", at positions 28 to 507 of the family's 1533-position model. The record is from RNAcentral.
GAUGAACGCUGGCGGCGUGCCUAAUACAUGCAAGUCGAGCGAACAGACGAGGAGCUUGCUCCUCUGACGUUAGCGGCGGACGGGUGAGUAACACGUGGAUAACCUACCUAUAAGACUGGGAUAACUUCGGGAAACCGGAGCUAAUACCGGAUAAUAUAUUGAACCGCAUGGUUCAAUAGUGAAAGACGGUUUUGCUGUCACUUAUAGAUGGAUCCGCGCCGCAUUAGCUAGUCGGUAAGGUAACGGCUUACCAAGGCAACGAUGCGUAGCCGACCUGAGAGGGUGAUCGGCCACACUGGAACUGAGACACGGUCCAGACUCCUACGGGAGGCAGCAGUAGGGAAUCUUACGCAAUGGGCGAAAGCCUGACGGAGCAACGCCGCGUGAGUGAUGAAGGUCUUCGGAUCGUAAAACUCUGUUAUUAGGGAAGAACAAAUGUGUAAGUAACUAUGCACGUCUUGACGGUACCUAAUCAGAAAGCCACGGCUAACUACGUG